AGAGCCAGAGACGCUGCUCCCGCGGGAGGCCGCCCGCUACCUGGGGCGCCCGCCAGCGCCUCCUUCCCGGAUCCCAGCCGCCCCUGAUCCCGGGUUCCUCCAGGCCCGCAGCACCGUCCAGCCACCUCACUUGCCCUUCCCGCUUCGAGGCCAGCCGCUGGCCCGGCUACCUUCUCGGACAUCCUGGGGCGCCCCCCGCCCCAACCUCCUUGCAGCCUGGCCCAUCUCUGAGUCCCACCCGAGGUUGGGUACCAAGGCCUCCAGCUUCCGGGCCCCGUGACACCACCUCAGGGGUGCAGGCUGCUUCCACCUGCUGAGGCGCUGGGCCCAGCGAGCCCCCUCAGAAAGGCUGCGGUGGCGGUGCGGGGGUCUGUCUCCAGGCGUGCUGAGGGGCUUUGCCGAGACCCUGUCUCCUGCCCUUGGGCCCUCCACAUCCCUCAGGGAGACAGCCUUGGUCUGUUAGUGUCCUGGUUGUCAGAGUGACAGCGCUCGCUGACUCUCCUGAACAAGCCGAGGGAAGCCUGACUGGCCGGUGGACAAGGCCGCACUUUUUCACCCAAGUGGACGGUGGGAGGGACUCCUGCGGCCCCUCCGCGUGCCCGACCUGCAGGAGACUGUGGCACUAUAGGGGAUCAGCAGGACCCAGGUUGUUCAGCUGCUUCCCCAGCAGCCCUUGAGCCGCCUGUUUGGAAUUUUCCAGGACUGAGAGUAGCCCCACGAGGGGGCAGGGAGGGGUUACCAU
Long non-coding RNA from Bos taurus (domestic cattle), 742 nucleotides. Lineage: Eukaryota; Metazoa; Chordata; Mammalia; Artiodactyla; Bovidae. The record is from Ensembl.